AAAGUAAUCAGUACUCUGUACUAAUUAUAAACCCAUCUGUGUAUCUUACCUGUUGCUUCCGUGGGGUGCGGUGGCUUCGGCCACCGCUUGACCCACGGGAGGUCUACACCAAACCAUUGCAUUGCCAUGAUCUCAGUCUGAAAUGUAAAAAACAAAAGUUA
Molecule: unclassified non-coding RNA, 161 nt
Filed under: uncultured Pyronemataceae
Lineage: Eukaryota; Fungi; Ascomycota; Pezizomycetes; Pezizales; Pyronemataceae
Description: sequence contains ITS1
Source: RNAcentral